This 624-nucleotide ribosomal RNA is filed under the name uncultured bacterium. Its description in RNAcentral is "bacterial SSU rRNA". It matches the Rfam family "Bacterial small subunit ribosomal RNA", at positions 8 to 629 of the family's 1533-position model. The record is from RNAcentral.
AGAGUUUGAUCCUGGCUCAGAUUGAACGCUGGCGGCAUGCCUUACACAUGCAAGUCGAACGGUAACAGGUCUUCGGAUGCUGACGAGUGGCGAACGGGUGAGUAAUAUAUCGGAACGUGCCCAGUCGUGGGGGAUAACGCAGCGAAAGCUGUGCUAAUACCGCAUACGAUCUAUGGAUGAAAGCGGGGGAUCGCAAGACCUCGCGCGAUUGGAGCGGCCGAUAUCAGAUUAGGUAGUUGGUGGGGUAAAGGCCCACCAAGCCAACGAUCUGUAGCUGGUCUGAGAGGACGACCAGCCACACUGGAACUGAGACACGGUCCAGACUCCUACGGGAGGCAGCAGUGGGGAAUUUUGGACAAUGGGCGCAAGCCUGAUCCAGCAAUGCCGCGUGCAGGAUGAAGGCCUUCGGGUUGUAAACUGCUUUUGUACGGAACGAAAAGGCUCUGGUUAAUACCUGGGGCUCAUGACGGUACCGUAAGAAUAAGCACCGGCUAACUACGUGCCAGCAGCCGCGGUAAUACGUAGGGUGCAAGCGUUAAUCGGAAUUACUGGGCGUAAAGCGUGCGCAGGCGGUUAUAUAAGUCAGAUGUGAAAUCCCCGGGCUCAACCUGGGACCUGCAUUUG